UCUCUGCAGCCUCCCUCUGAAUUUCUCAGUGCACCAACAUUAGCAUUUAUGGCAAGGAAGAUUUAUUUUCUUUGCUGGUUAAGAGUAGUAAAUUCAGAAUGCCUUUACAAGCUGCUAGACGGAGAGCCCUGGAGAUCCGAAAUCCUGUAGGCUCAGACAAGUCUUCGUGGCUGGACCACAGGUAAUUGGACUUGGACCUCUUCUCCCAAGAGCCAGGAGUGAUGAACUGACUAAAGCGUGCGGGAGCUAUUUCAGCUCGGUGAAGAGCAGCUCUGUGCUUGUCUCCAGAUGACCAAAUAUAAAACUCGACGUUGCCUUAUGGCUACAUGGAACGAUGGAGCUGGUGAGCAGUCCUCCCUCCACAGAACCCGGUACUCCCUUGUACCCUCUCCUGCUGCCUUUGCCAUUGCAGCCUGCGCAUCCCACCACAGCCACCAGCACCUGUAGCCUGCUGCUUCUCACCAGACCCACAUCAGCCAAAACAUGUGAAAGAGGACAAUCUUAAAAGUCAGCAGACAACAUGUAGGCAUGUGCAGCCCUGAGAGAAAUCAGGUGGCCUGCAAAGGGCAGGUGAUGGAUCUAAACCUGGCUCUGGGUUCCCAGCUCCUGACUGCUCACGCAGCA
Egretta garzetta (little egret) is the source of this 624-nucleotide long non-coding RNA. RefSeq lists it as uncharacterized. The transcript has 4 exons. NCBI's taxonomy places the organism in Eukaryota, Metazoa, Chordata, Aves, Pelecaniformes, Ardeidae. The record is from RefSeq and is a predicted model, not a curated record.